CCAACGAGUGGCGGACGGGUGAGUAACACGUAGGUAACCUGCCCAGAAGCGGGGGACAACAUUUGGAAACAGAUGCUAAUACCGCAUAACARCGUUGUUCGCAUGAACAACGCUAAAAAGAUGGCUUCUCGCUAUCACUUCUGGAUGGACCUGCGGUGCAUUAGCUUGUUGGUGGGGUAAYGGCCUACCAAGGCGAUGAUGCAUAGCCGAGUUGAGAGACUGAUCGGCCACAAUGGGACUGAGACACGGCCCAUACUCCUACGGGAGGCAGCAGUAGGGAAUCUUCCACAAUGGGCGCAAGCCUGAUGGAGCAACACCGCGUGAGUGAAGAAGGGUUUCGGCUCGUAAAGCUCUGUUGUUAAAGAAGAACACGUAUGAGAGUAACUGUUCAUACGUUGACGGUAUUUAACCAGAAAGUCACGGCUAACUACGUGCCAGCAGCCGCGGUAAUACGUAGGUGGCAAGCGUUAUCCGGAUUUAUUGGGCGUAAAGAGAGUGCAGGCGGUUUUCUAAGUCUGAUGUGAAAGCCUUCGGCUUAACCGGAGAAGUGCAUCGGAAACUGGAUAACUUGAGUGCAGAAGAGGGUAGUGGAACUCCAUGUGUAGCGGUGGAAUGCGUAGAUAUAUGGAAGAACACCAGUGGCGAAGGCGGCUACCUGGUCUGCAACUGACGCUGAGACUCGAAAGCAUGGGUAGCGAACAGGAUUAGAUACCCUGGUAGUCCAUGCCGUAAACGAUGAGUGCUAGGUGUUGGAGGGUUUCCGCCCUUCAGUGCCGGAGCUAACGCAUUAAGCACUCCGCCUGGGGAGUACGACCGCAAGGUUGAAACUCAAAGGAAUUGACGGGGGCCCGCACAAGCGGUGGAGCAUGUGGUUUAAUUCGAAGCUACGCGAAGAACCUUACCAGGUCUUGACAUCUUGCGCCAACCCUAGAGAUAGGGCGUUUCCUUCGGGAACGCAAUGACAGGUGGUGCAUGGUCGUCGUCAGCUC
This 989-nucleotide ribosomal RNA is filed under the name Limosilactobacillus fermentum. RNAcentral's name for it is "bacterial SSU rRNA". It matches the Rfam family "Bacterial small subunit ribosomal RNA", at positions 88 to 1061 of the family's 1533-position model. The record is from RNAcentral. Lineage: Bacteria; Bacillati; Bacillota; Bacilli; Lactobacillales; Lactobacillaceae.